CGCGCUUUGGCCUAACUGGUUACGCUUUUGUCUUUCAGCCGAAGGGUCGCGGGUUCGAUUCCCCCGGGGUGG
This is a non-coding RNA of Caenorhabditis brenneri, 72 nucleotides long. The record is from the annotation of a GenBank genome assembly. NCBI's taxonomy places the organism in Eukaryota, Metazoa, Nematoda, Chromadorea, Rhabditida, Rhabditidae.